ACUUAAAUUGAAGAGUUUGAUCAUGGCUCAGAUUGAACGCUGGCGGCAGGCCUAACACAUGCAAGUCGAGCGGUAGCACAGAGAGCUUGCUCUCGGGUGACGAGCGGCGGACGGGUGAGUAAUGUCUGGGAAACUGCCUGAUGGAGGGGGAUAACUACUGGAAACGGUAGCUAAUACCGCAUAACGUCGCAAGACCAAAGUGGGGGACCUUCGGGCCUCAUGCCAUCAGAUGUGCCCAGAUGGGAUUAGCUAGUAGGUGGGGUAACGGCUCACCUAGGCGACGAUCCCUAGCUGGUCUGAGAGGAUGACCAGCCACACUGGAACUGAGACACGGUCCAGACUCCUACGGGAGGCAGCAGUGGGGAAUAUUGCACAAUGGGCGCAAGCCUGAUGCAGCCAUGCCGCGUGUGUGAAGAAGGCCUUCGGGUUGUAAAGCACUUUCAGCGGGGAGGAAGGCGGUGAGGUUAAUAACCUCACCGAUUGACGUUACCCGCAGAAGAAGCACCGGCUAACUCCGUGCCAGCAGCCGCGGUAAUACGGAGGGUGCAAGCGUUAAUCGGAAUUACUGGGCGUAAAGCGCACGCAGGCGGUCUGUCAAGUCGGAUGUGAAAUCCCCGGGCUCAACCUGGGAACUGCAUUCGAAACUGGCAGGCUAGAGUCUUGUAGAGGGGGGUAGAAUUCCAGGUGUAGCGGUGAAAUGCGUAGAGAUCUGGAGGAAUACCGGUGGCGAAGGCGGCCCCCUGGACAAAGACUGACGCUCAGGUGCGAAAGCGUGGGGAGCAAACAGGAUUAGAUACCCUGGUAGUCCACGCUGUAAACGAUGUCGAUUUGGAGGUUGUGCCCUUGAGGCGUGGCUUCCGGAGCUAACGCGUUAAAUCGACCGCCUGGGGAGUACGGCCGCAAGGUUAAAACUCAAAUGAAUUGACGGGGGCCCGCACAAGCGGUGGAGCAUGUGGUUUAAUUCGAUGCAACGCGAAGAACCUUACCUGGUCUUGACAUCCACAGAACUUUCCAGAGAUGGAUUGGUGCCUUCGGGAACUGUGAGACAGGUGCUGCAUGGCUGUCGUCAGCUCGUGUUGUGAAAUGUUGGGUUAAGUCCCGCAACGAGCGCAACCCUUAUCCUUUGUUGCCAGCGGUCCGGCCGGGAACUCAAAGGAGACUGCCAGUGAUAAACUGGAGGAAGGUGGGGAUGACGUCAAGUCAUCAUGGCCCUUACGACCAGGGCUACACACGUGCUACAAUGGCAUAUACAAAGAGAAGCGACCUCGCGAGAGCAAGCGGACCUCAUAAAGUAUGUCGUAGUCCGGAUUGGAGUCUGCAACUCGACUCCAUGAAGUCGGAAUCGCUAGUAAUCGUAGAUCAGAAUGCUACGGUGAAUACGUUCCCGGGCCUUGUACACACCGCCCGUCACACCAUGGGAGUGGGUUGCAAAAGAAGUAGGUAGCUUAACCUUCGGGAGGGCGCUUACCACUUUGUGAUUCAUGACUGGGGUGAAGUCGUAACAAGGUAACCGUAGGGGAACCUGCGGUUGGAUCACCUCCUUACCUUAAAGAA
This 1554-nucleotide ribosomal RNA is filed under the name Klebsiella variicola. RNAcentral describes it as "bacterial SSU rRNA". It matches the Rfam family "Bacterial small subunit ribosomal RNA". Lineage: Bacteria; Pseudomonadati; Pseudomonadota; Gammaproteobacteria; Enterobacterales; Enterobacteriaceae. The record is from RNAcentral.